Molecule: non-coding RNA, 1420 nt
Organism: Musa acuminata subsp. malaccensis (wild Malaysian banana)
Lineage: Eukaryota; Viridiplantae; Streptophyta; Magnoliopsida; Zingiberales; Musaceae
Source: RefSeq, a predicted model, not a curated record
GCUUGAGAUCCACAGAGUUAGAUAGGUUAUCACCUUCUCCCUCUUUCCUCUUCUUUCUUAUCUUGUCUUCAUUCAUGAAGGGAAAAGAGCAGCAACUCCCUAUCACGGCCGCCGCCGCCGCCGCCAUUUCGUCAACCUGCAAAGCUCCAACCGAGGUGCUCAACUUGGCAACCAUGAAAGCUCUGUCCAAGCUCACCGGCUUCCAUGCCGGUUACUUCCGCAUCAGCCUGUCUCUCUGCUGCCAGGCCCUCCUCUGGAAGACCCUCAGCGAGCCGAGCACCGACUCCCACGCUCUCCGCACGGUGAUCCACAUGCUCCCCUCCGCCACGUACGUCCUCCUUUGGUCCGUCGCGCUCCUCAUCCUCGCCACGCUUUCCGUGCUCUAUGGCCUCCGCUGCCUUUUCAGGUUCCGCAGCGUGCAGGCGGAGUUCUCUCACCACGUCGGCGUGAACUACCUCUUCACGCCAUGGAUCUCGUGGCUCCUCCUGCUCCAGUCCGUCCCCUUCCUCCACCCGGGCGCCGCCUUGUACCGUGUGCUUUGGUGGGUGUUCGCCGUCCCCAUCCUCAUGCUCGACGUGAAGAUCUACGGCCAAUGUUUCACCAAGGGGAGGAGGUUCCUGUCGAUGGUGGCAAACCCGACGAGCCAGAUCACGGUGAUCGGGAACCUGGUCGGGUCGCGAGCGGCGGCGAGGAUGGGGUGUGAGGAGAUCGCGACGUUCAUGUUCUCCCUCGGCAUGGCGCACUACCUCGUGCUGUUCGUGACUCUGUACCAGCGCUUCGUCGGGAGCAGCAGCCUCCCAUCGAUUCUUCGCCCCGUCUUCUUCCUGUUCAUCGCCGCCCCCAGCAUGGCCAGCUUGGCCUGGGAUUCCAUCUCCGGAUCGUUCGACACGGGCUCGAAGAUGCUCUUCUUCCUCUCCCUCUUCCUAUUUGCCUCCCUGGUAAUCACCCCAUCACUUCUUCUCAUGCAUGGCUCUUCUUUGUCGACGGUGAAGGCAUGGAAAUGGGAGAGAAAUCUUCAUAGGACACGGAUCAAAACUGUCGUUAUCAACCAAAAGAACAUUGGAUCUAGAGUUCUGAUUUGACGCGGUUGCUCGAAUCAACCAUCAAUGGGGACAAACAAACACUUGAUGCCUUGCCGAGAUAUCUCAAAUGACUUCCUGGAAUCCGGCAUCAUCAACUUUAGACGAGUUAUGCGACUUCAACACGUUCAUUAGUUUAUUCCCUUCGUGACUGAUUUGAUCCACCGAAAAGGAAAAGCGCGACCUAAAGUCAAAAAGUAAAAGCUUGACGCUAAAGCGGGUGCAGAAGACGCAAAGUUGCGUCGCAUACACGUUAGCAGAUAGCGUUGGCAAUAAAGAACGGAAAGAUGGUUUCAAGGCCGGCGCUGUUCAAGCGGUCGAUGAGGCGGUUCAACGUGGCA